GACGAACGCUGGCGGCGUGCUUAACACAUGCAAGUCGAACGGAAAGGCCCUGCUUUUGUGGGGUGCUCGAGUGGCGAACGGGUGAGUAACACGUGAGUAACCUGCCCUUGACUUUGGGAUAACUUCAGGAAACUGGGGCUAAUACCGGAUAGGAGCUCCUGCUGCAUGGUGGGGGUUGGAAAGUUUCGGCGGUUGGGGAUGGACUCGCGGCUUAUCAGCUUGUUGGUGGGGUAGUGGCUUACCAAGGCUUUGACGGGUAGCCGGCCUGAGAGGGUGACCGGCCACAUUGGGACUGCGAUACGGCCCAGACUCCUACGGGAGGCAGCAGUGGGGAAUAUUGCACAAUGGGCGGAAGCCUGAUGCAGCAACGCCGCGUGCGGGAUGACGGCCUUCGAGUUGUAAACCGCUUUCGCCUGUGACGAAGCGUGAGUGACGGUAAUGGGUAAAGAAGCACCGGCUAACUACGUG
Molecule: ribosomal RNA, 468 nt
Filed under: uncultured bacterium
Lineage: Bacteria
Description: partial 16S ribosomal RNA
Rfam family: Bacterial small subunit ribosomal RNA
Source: RNAcentral